Molecule: ribosomal RNA, 859 nt
Filed under: Montastraea cavernosa (great star coral)
Lineage: Eukaryota; Metazoa; Cnidaria; Anthozoa; Scleractinia; Montastraeidae
Description: eukaryotic LSU rRNA
Rfam family: Eukaryotic large subunit ribosomal RNA
Source: RNAcentral
AUUUGAAAUCUCCGAUGCUUGCAUCGGCGAGUUGUAGUUGCGAGAAGCACUUUCUAGGCGGAUCGGUGGUGCCUAAGUUGCUUGGAACAGCACGUCGCAGAGGGUGACAACCCCGUCUGUGGCGCGACCGGCCGCUGACGAUGUGCUUUCGAAGAGUCGGGUUGUUUGGGAAUGCAGCCCAAAAUGGGUGGUAAACUCCAUCUAAAGCUAAAUAUUGGCGUGAGACCGAUAGCGAACAAGUACCGUGAGGGAAAGAUGAAAAGAACUUUGAAAAGAGAGUUAAAAAGUACGUGAAACCGUUGAAAGGGAAACGAAUGGACUCAGCAAUGCGCCCUUUGAGAUUCAGCCGGUGGGUGGGAUCGGCCUCGGGUUUGCGGAUCUGAAUGGACCGCGGCCCGGUGCUCGUUUCUCCUGGCCGUCGCACUUCUCUUGGGCGCGCGUCAACGUCGGUUGGGACUGGGUCUGAAAGGUGCCGGGAAGGUAGGUGUGGGCCUUCGGGUCCGUUCUGUUACAGCCCGGUUCUCUCAUGGCUCGGGCCCGACCGAGGCGUUGCAGGGCAUGCCUCUUGUGGCUAGGGUCCCCUCCUUCCGGCCGGCUGUCGAAUGUGGUGGACUGCUUGCAGUGCUCGACGAACGCUGCCGGUCGUUGGGGCGGUGAUCUCGUACCAUGCCCUUAGGAUGUUGGCGGUCAUAUGGGUCCAUCCGACCCGUCUUGAAACACGGACCAAGGAGUCUAACAUGUGCGCGAGUCUUAGGGUGAGUGAAACCCCGAGGCGCAAUGAAAGUGAAGGCGGCUCCGGCCGCUGAGGUGAGAUCCGUGGCCCUCGGGGCCGCGGCGCAUCAUCGACCGACCUAUUCUA